UGCCCAGACUCCUACGGGAGGCAGCAGUGGGGGAUAUUGCACAAUGGGGGGAACCCUGAUGCAGCGACGCCGCGUGGGUGAAGGAGCGUUUCGGCGCGUAAAGCCCUAUCGGCAGGGAAGAAGGAGGACGGUACCUGACUAAGAAGCCCCGGCUAACUACGUGCCAGCAGCCGCGGUAAUACGUAGGGGGCAAGCGUUAUCCGGAUUUACUGGGUGUAAAGGGAGCGUAGACGGUAUGGCAAGUCUGAUGUGAAAACCCGGGGCUCAACCCCGGGACUGCAUUGGAAACUGUCGGACUAGAGUGUCGGAGAGGCAAGUGGAAUUCCUAGUGUAGCGGUGAAAUGCGUAGAUAUUAGGAGGAACACCAGUGGCGAAGGCGGCUUGCUGGACGAUGACUGACGUUGAGGCUCGAAAGCGUGGGGAGCAAACAGGAUUAGAUACCCUCGUAAA
RNAcentral lists this ribosomal RNA (450 nucleotides) under uncultured bacterium. Its description in RNAcentral is "partial 16S ribosomal RNA". It matches the Rfam family "Bacterial small subunit ribosomal RNA", at positions 328 to 794 of the family's 1533-position model. The record is from RNAcentral.